RNAcentral lists this non-coding RNA (100 nucleotides) under Cnuella takakiae. RNAcentral's name for it is "SAM-I-IV sequence". It matches the Rfam family "SAM-I/IV (S-adenosyl methionine) riboswitch aptamer". Rfam says of the family: It is found upstream of a number of genes which code for proteins involved in methionine or cysteine biosynthesis. The record is from Rfam by way of RNAcentral. Lineage: Bacteria; Pseudomonadati; Bacteroidota; Chitinophagia; Chitinophagales; Chitinophagaceae.
ACAAAGCAUCAGGAGUUCCCUUUUUCAAAGGGAUGCCAACCGGGCCGCAGGCUAACGGUGGACCAGUAUGCGGGCCGCAGGGUCAAAAGCUUGAACGCUU